GGCCCCAUCAUGUUGAAACAUCAGUUCCCAUAGGUUCAUUGAAGUUAAGCAAUGUAGAACCUGGUUGAUACCUAGAUAGGUGACCAUUUGGGAAUACCAGGUGCUGUAA
Acanthosepion pharaonis is the source of this 109-nucleotide non-coding RNA. NCBI's taxonomy places the organism in Eukaryota, Metazoa, Mollusca, Cephalopoda, Sepiida, Sepiidae. The record is from the annotation of a GenBank genome assembly.